Molecule: ribosomal RNA, 712 nt
Filed under: uncultured bacterium
Lineage: Bacteria
Description: bacterial SSU rRNA
Rfam family: Bacterial small subunit ribosomal RNA
Source: RNAcentral
GUCGAACGGACUUAAUCGAUUCUUUUAGAUUCGAAGCGGUUAGUGGCGGACUGGUGAGUAACACGUAAGCAACCUGCCUAUUAGAGGGGAAUAACAGUGAGAAAUCACUGCUAAAACCGCAUAUGCCGUGAACAUCGCAUGAUGAAAACGGGAAAAGAGCAAUCUGCUAAUAGAUGGGCUUGCAUCUGAUUAGCUAGUUGGUGUGGUAAAGGCAUACCAAGGCAACGAUCAGUAGCCGGACUGAGAGGUUGAACGGCCACAUUGGGACUGAGAUACGGCCCAGACUCCUACGGGAGGCAGCAGUCGGGAAUAUUGCGCAAUGGAGGAAACUCUGACGCAGUGACGCCGCGUAUGGGAAGAAGGUUUUCGGAUUGUAAACCAUUUUAGACAAGGAAGAAACAAGACAGUACUUGUAGAAUAAGCUCCGGCUAACUACGUGCCAGCAGCCGCGGUAAUACGUAGGGAGCAAGCGUUAUCCGGAUUUAUUGGGUGUAAAGGGUGCGUAGACGGGAAGGUAAGUUAGUUGUGAAAUCCCUCGGCUCAACUGAGGAACUGCGACUAAAACUGCUUUUCUUGAGUGCUGGAGAGGAAAGUGGAAUUCCUAGUGUAGCGGUGAAAUGCGUAGAUAUUAGGAGGAACACCAGUGGCGAAGGCGACUUUCUGGACAGUAACUGACGUUGAGGCACGAAAGUGUGGGGAGCAAACAGGAUUA